UACGGAGGAUCCAAGCGUUGUCCGGAUUUAUUGGGUUUAAAGGGUGCGUAGGCGGCUUAGUAAGUCAGUGUUUAAAGUCAACAGCUUAACUGUUGGAAUGGCAAAGAUACUGCUGAGCUUGAGUAAAGUUGAGGUGGGUGGAAUUGAUGGUGUAGCGGUGAAAUGCAUAGAUAUCAUCAAGAACACCGAUAGCGAAGGCAACUCACUAAACUUUAACUGACGCUGAGGCACGAAAGCGUGGGGAUCAAACAGG
RNAcentral lists this ribosomal RNA (253 nucleotides) under uncultured prokaryote. RNAcentral describes it as "partial 16S ribosomal RNA". It matches the Rfam family "Bacterial small subunit ribosomal RNA", at positions 524 to 776 of the family's 1533-position model. The record is from RNAcentral.